AGGGAGUAUAGCUCCCUGCUCUAAUGCAGCUACUAUACAGUAACGGUCGCAAGCCCGUAUAAAUGCAGAGUGGAGU
RNAcentral lists this non-coding RNA (76 nucleotides) under unclassified sequences. The record is from RNAcentral.